RNAcentral lists this long non-coding RNA (336 nucleotides) under Brassica napus (rape). Its description in RNAcentral is "long non-coding RNA (BNAP_LNC022627)". Lineage: Eukaryota; Viridiplantae; Streptophyta; Magnoliopsida; Brassicales; Brassicaceae. The record is from RNAcentral.
AGAAACUUCUAGCUCAAUUUGUGAAAAGUCUUGGCCCCCAAACAAAAAAAAAAAAAAAAAAGAAGAGAAAGAAUAAAGAAAGGGGGCUAGCAAAAUUAGUAUGAGCUAAGAGGUGUUCAAAAAGUGUAAGAAAUCUCUUGUAAAAAAAAAAGAGUUUUAUGUUGGGAAAUGCUUUUGAAGUUCUUGGGUGAGAGAUGUGAGUUGGGUUUGGAAUGGAAAAAUGAAUGUGUAUCAUAUAUGUUUGGGAAAAUGGUAGAACAAUGGAGAUUGAGCAUUGUAUGCAUGAGUUGAUCCCUUUCUUAGAUAUAUUAUGUGCAAUGUCAAGGCUACUUGUCU